RNAcentral lists this microRNA precursor (75 nucleotides) under Myotis brandtii (Brandt's bat). RNAcentral describes it as "mir-9193 microRNA precursor family". It matches the Rfam family "mir-9193 microRNA precursor family". Lineage: Eukaryota; Metazoa; Chordata; Mammalia; Chiroptera; Vespertilionidae. The record is from Rfam by way of RNAcentral.
GGGGGGGCGGGGAACUCCCUCAGCCCGGAUUGCGAGAGGGCGCAGGCCAGGCCCGAGGGACUCCACCGGUGCACG